AUUGAACGCUGGCGGCAGGCCUAACACAUGCAAGUCGAGCGGAUGAAGGGAGCUUGCUCCUGGAUUCAGCGGCGGACGGGUGAGUAAUGCCUAGGAAUCUGCCUGGUAGUGGGGGAUAACGUCCGGAAACGGGCGCUAAUACCGCAUACGUCGUGAGGGAGAAAGUGGGGGAUCUUCGGACCUCACGCUAUCAGAUGAGCCUAGGUCGGAUUAGCUAGUUGGUGGGGUAAAGGCCUACCAAGGCGACGAUCCGUAACUGGUCUGAGAGGAUGAUCAGUCACACUGGAACUGAGACACGGUCCAGACUCCUACGGUAGGCAGCAGUGGCGAAUAUUAGACAAUGGGCGAAAGCCUGAUCCAGCCAUGCCGCGUGUGUGAAGAAGGUCUUCGGAUUGUAAAGCACUUUAAGUUGGGAGGAAGGGCAGUAAGUUAAUACCUUGCUGUUUUGACGUUACCAACAGAAUAAGCACCGGCUAACUUCGUG
RNAcentral lists this ribosomal RNA (484 nucleotides) under uncultured bacterium. RNAcentral's name for it is "partial 16S ribosomal RNA". It matches the Rfam family "Bacterial small subunit ribosomal RNA", at positions 30 to 507 of the family's 1533-position model. The record is from RNAcentral.